RNAcentral lists this long non-coding RNA (1236 nucleotides) under Spirodela polyrhiza (greater duckweed). RNAcentral describes it as "long non-coding RNA (SPOL_LNC000217)". The record is from RNAcentral. Lineage: Eukaryota; Viridiplantae; Streptophyta; Magnoliopsida; Alismatales; Araceae.
AGUCCUUCCCGGAGGUAUUCUCUCAACGAAUAAGUAAUUGUUAGAGUGCAAUGUUGAUAUAAUUCGAAGAAACAAAAAGCAAGUCUAAGUCAAAAAAAAUUACGUACGUACUUUUAUUUCUUCUAAAAUUAAAUUAAACAAAUGGAUUCGCAAAUAAAAGUGCUAAUGCCACAACCAGUCCAUAAAUUGUUAAAGCUUCCAUAAAAGCCAGACUUAGCAAUAAAGUACCUCGUAUUUUACCCUCUGCUUCUGGCUGUCUCGCAAUACCUUCUACAGCUUGACCCGCAGCAGUACCUUGACCAACCCCAGGUCCAAUAGAAGCAAGCCCUACAGCCAAUCCAGCAGCAAUAACAGAAGCGGCAGAAAUCAGUGGAUUCAUGAUAAGCUAAGCUCCUCGCAAAAGAAAUGGUUAAUGAUACAAUCAAGGAAUUAAUCAUCAGAAAUACAUGGAAAUCUCGCUUUUUGUUCUUAUCCGUGAUAGAGUUUUAGAUAAAUCUAUAUGCACAUACCAUUAUAGUUAUUACAUUUCUUUAUUCUAAACCCAUUUAUCAUUCAAUUCGUCAUUCUUUACUCUUCCACUUCCUCUUGAGUUCAGAGUUCAUCUGUUUAGUUGUUCAAUCCACAAUCACAGACAAAGCCCAAGGACUUUCUAUUGGAAUCUCCUCUAAGUGCAGUGAGCUACGAAAUAAAUAUAAGAUAUAAGAACCUCACUAUAACUAGUGAAUUUAUAAUAUCACAUAUACAUUUGUUUCUUCUAUAACGUAAACCGCUUAUUGAAAAUGAUUCUAGAAUCAUUUUUUUGAACCAUAGACGAGGGCUAGACAGACUUAUCACUAUUAUACUGAGUUUCAUUUUUAUAAGAUAAGCUAUCUUUUUUUUUAGUUUUACGUCGGAAAAGAUAACAAUUAUUAUUCAAAUUCAAAAUUUAUAAAAAAUUAUAAUAUAAUAUUAAUUUAACAAAAACAAAUAAAAUAUAAAUACAAUAUAAAUUUGUAAAUAGAAGAAGUCUAUAAUCUAGAAAUAAAUUAAAACAAAUCUUAGGAAGAGAUCAUUUAGAUCUUUUCCUAAGAUUUGUUUUAAUUUAAAUAAUAUGAUACAUCUUUGUUUCCUGCUACGAUUCUAUACCCUAUAUAAUUUUUUUUAUCUAUUAUAGUUCCUAGCCAAAUCGAUUAUAUAAAAAGGAACUCUCUAUGAACUGGGAUAAGGUUGAAAAAAAAUUUCAAAAGCUAGUCAAUG